Molecule: long non-coding RNA, 253 nt
Organism: Mytilus trossulus (common blue mussel)
Lineage: Eukaryota; Metazoa; Mollusca; Bivalvia; Mytilida; Mytilidae
Exons: 3
Source: RefSeq, a predicted model, not a curated record
GUAGUUCUGAGGUCAUAAAUAAAACGGCAAACAAAAGAAAAAACAUUCCUAGCGUCGAGAGUUGUACAAAGUAUUCCUUUAUCUGGACUAUCAUCGCUUAUUUUUCAUCAAUGAUGAUUUGCAUUGUAUUUUUAUCCAGUGGUGAACGGAUAUGUUGGUUGCAAAAUAUGGAUGUGUGGAAGAAGAUAAUGAUCAUCCUUCUAACUUUGGCAUUUUUCUUUAUUAUGGAUUUAAUGAAUUUUCUAAUCAAGGA